GAUAAUUUCGUUUUUUCAUCCUUCAUGAAACAAGCAAAUUAUAGUGCAAGAUGACGAAACAGAGUAUAUAACUAACUGAUAUGUUUCAAUGAAACAAAUUCAAGAAAGCUAAAGAUUUGCCAAUUUUAUUUCUUUAUUGUGGGCUUCUCGCCAAGUAAUCUACACUCAACAGACACUAAGGAAAAACUUCGCAACAGAAUCAGACAUCUAAAAAUCCCGAAAAUUCACUAGGUUUCAUCGAUUGGUACGGAGUGGUCUCAUCAGCAGAAAUAUCUUUCAAGUACACUAGGCCAAGCCAACGAGCUUCUCACUGAUCUCCCACACUUUACGAGCCUUCUCAACGUCACUUGCUUCUUCUGAUAACUGGUUCUCAAAAGAAGCCGAAGCGU
This 389-nucleotide long non-coding RNA is filed under the name Capsella grandiflora. RNAcentral describes it as "long non-coding RNA (CGRA_LNC001411)". The record is from RNAcentral. Lineage: Eukaryota; Viridiplantae; Streptophyta; Magnoliopsida; Brassicales; Brassicaceae.